CGUGUUUAACUAUGGCAGUAGAAAGCUACUCUGAGUUAGCUGCAUAAAAUAAUUUUAUUGUUUCAUAAGAUUUUAUUUAUGCUUGGAUUAUUAGCAGCUAGUUUUUUAUUGGAACGGGUGUUUUUUAAGAAUAUUUGGUAUUAAAGGGGAUAGGACACAGUGCCAGCAUCCGCGGUUAAUCUGUUUUCUUUGCUUUUUGGUAAACUGAUUUUGUGUAUUUAUGAGUAGAAUUGGGUGAAAUCUUUCUAUUAGUGUAUUUUAUACUUAAUUUUUAAUAAAUAAAUUUUGUGACAGGGAUUAGAUACCCCAUUAAUUUAUUAUUGUAAUUUGUUUUAGUUU
Molecule: ribosomal RNA, 339 nt
Filed under: Schizorchis sp. 1 KEG-2011
Lineage: Eukaryota; Metazoa; Platyhelminthes; Cestoda; Cyclophyllidea; Anoplocephalidae
Description: partial small subunit ribosomal RNA
Source: RNAcentral